CUCCUGCACCAAAGGCAAAACCAGAUUUUAGAUUUCUGUGUCUUCUUCAGCAUGACGAGGAAGCAGGAGGGACUGUUCUCAAGGCCAGCCUGAACAGGUGAGUUUUCAGCUGCUUCUUAAAGAGCAUGUCAAGUGUGCCUCAGAGUCGUACCCCACCCACGUAUCAAUUUUAAAAACUGCAACAUUAGUAGGCGUUGCCUGGAGGACCGAGAGGGCGGAGCCGCGGCAGUGACGAAAUGAUGGCUAACUAGACGAUGCUAGCUCCCUUCACUCUGAGCAGUUAUUAGAAGUGGAGGCCGUUUCUCCCCCUCCUUACACAGACACUCGAGAAGAAAGGGACCAAGUCUAUUUGGAGGAGACAAGCGGACCUGAGCCUUAUUGUUUUGAGCUUGUGAGUUGCCUGAAAUUACCGGAACCGACCCAACAGAACCUGCUUUGAAUGGUGGUCCUCUGGUGUCUGCAGCUGGUCUCCUCUGCUGGUGUCGUCAGGAUCAGGAGCUUCCAGAAGAAUGUGCCUUUCAAUGACUCUUUCCCCCUUAUUUGUUAUAUUAAUUAAAUAAAUCUCAAUUUAUAUA
Nothobranchius furzeri (turquoise killifish) is the source of this 575-nucleotide long non-coding RNA. RefSeq lists it as uncharacterized. The record is from RefSeq and is a predicted model, not a curated record. Lineage: Eukaryota; Metazoa; Chordata; Actinopteri; Cyprinodontiformes; Nothobranchiidae.